Molecule: ribosomal RNA, 253 nt
Filed under: uncultured bacterium
Lineage: Bacteria
Description: partial 16S ribosomal RNA
Rfam family: Bacterial small subunit ribosomal RNA
Source: RNAcentral
GACGGAGGAUGCAAGCGUUAUCCGGAAUGAUUGGGCGUAAAGCGUCCGCAGGUGGCAGUUCAAGUCUGCUGUCAAAGACCGGGGCUUAACUUCGGAAAGGCAGUGGAAACUGAACAGCUAGAGUAUGGUAGGGGCAGAGGGAAUUCCUGGUGUAGCGGUGAAAUGCGUAGAUAUCAGGAAGAACAUCGGCGGCGAAGGCGCUCUGCUGGACCAUAACUGACACUCAGGGACGAAAGCUAGGGGAGCGAAUGGG